RNAcentral lists this non-coding RNA (46 nucleotides) under Trichobilharzia regenti. The record is from RNAcentral. Lineage: Eukaryota; Metazoa; Platyhelminthes; Trematoda; Strigeidida; Schistosomatidae.
GUCCUGGUGAAGAGUCCCAAAAUAGGACGAAGCAGUUGUCUAGUAC